RNAcentral lists this microRNA (21 nucleotides) under Columba livia (rock pigeon). RNAcentral describes it as "cli-miR-9648-5p". Lineage: Eukaryota; Metazoa; Chordata; Aves; Columbiformes; Columbidae. The record is from miRBase by way of RNAcentral.
CAUGCCAUUAAUUUCUAAGCA